Molecule: non-coding RNA, 23 nt
Filed under: Arabidopsis thaliana (thale cress)
Lineage: Eukaryota; Viridiplantae; Streptophyta; Magnoliopsida; Brassicales; Brassicaceae
Source: RNAcentral
UCAUGGUCCUGAAGGAAUUGAUA